UACGUAGGGGGCAAGCGUUAUCCGGAUUUACUGGGUGUAAAGGGAGCGUAGACGGCGAAGAAAGUCUGAAGUGAAAGCCCGCGGCUCAGCCGCGGAAUGGCUUUGGAAACUUUUUUGCUGGAGUACCGGAGAGGUAAGCGGAAUUCCUAGUGUAGCGGUGAAAUGCGUAGAUAUUAGGAGGAACACCAGUGGCGAAGGCGGCUUACUGGACGGUAACUGACGUUGAGGCUCGAAAGCGUGGGGAGCAAACAGG
This 253-nucleotide ribosomal RNA is filed under the name uncultured bacterium. RNAcentral's name for it is "partial 16S ribosomal RNA". It matches the Rfam family "Bacterial small subunit ribosomal RNA", at positions 524 to 776 of the family's 1533-position model. The record is from RNAcentral.